RNAcentral lists this ribosomal RNA (301 nucleotides) under uncultured bacterium. RNAcentral's name for it is "partial 16S ribosomal RNA". It matches the Rfam family "Bacterial small subunit ribosomal RNA", at positions 509 to 807 of the family's 1533-position model. The record is from RNAcentral.
CAGCCGCCGCGGUAAUACGAAGGGUGCAAGCGUUAAUCGGAAUUACUGGGCGUAAAGCGUGCGUAGGCGGUUCGUUAAGUCUGUUGUGAAAUCCCCGGGCUCAACCUGGGAAUGGCAAUGGAUACUGGCAAGCUAGAGUGUGUCAGAGGAUGGUGGAAUUCCCGGUGUAGCGGUGAAAUGCGUAGAGAUGGGGAGGAACAUCAGUGGCGAAGGCAGCCCCCUGGGCCAAUACUGACGCUCAUGCACGAAAGCGUGGGGAGCAAACAGGAUUAGAUACCCCAGUAGUCCCUGUCUCUUAUAC